CUGGAGGUUUGUGGGAAUAUUUCAGGAAGAGAGGAAACCAGCAUGGAAGAAAAGACUGGGUGGACACUAUGUGGAAGCCUGGGACAAUACACCAUUCGUUCCAGGAGGAUGCUUUCAGCUGUGGUGUCUUUGUGAUGCAGAUGGCCAAGC
Long non-coding RNA from Xyrauchen texanus (razorback sucker), 150 nucleotides. RefSeq lists it as uncharacterized. Lineage: Eukaryota; Metazoa; Chordata; Actinopteri; Cypriniformes; Catostomidae. The record is from RefSeq and is a predicted model, not a curated record. The transcript is spliced from 3 exons.